CAAAGCAAAAGGGUAUAGCCUUACUCAGCAGUUCAUAGCAAAAAAUAAUCAAGGCUCGACCCAUCCAUCAAUAAAACCAAGUUAAAAUCCAAAAGUCGAUUACACAGGUAUACAAGUCUAUAAUAGAGAUGGAAAGGAAAAUGAAAACAAUUGCAUCAAAAAAGUGGACCUCGACACAAUCACAGGAAGCUGACAUUCAAAGAAGUUCGAAGGCAGUCCCAGUGCUGAGUAUGCUCUCUCCUCUAUCCAGCAAGAUGUUGCCUCUGUGAAAGGCUCUCCUUAGCUUGCUAGAAGUUGGAACUCAGGGAUACUACUAAGCCCUGGAUAUGAGUUUCUUGUUCUGACCAAAGCCUAGAGAUGUUGACUAGCUAAGCCAUGGUGUUACGAGCCUCAACAUACUCUUUCUGUAAUUCUGCAAUGAGCUUGGCUAUCCUCUAUUCUCUAGCCUGGAGUUCAGUUUUGAGCUGAACACCUGUGUCACUAUGAGCAAGGAUGGUAGCUUCUACCUGUUUAGCCUUUGUCUUGCAAUCCUAGAACUCUUUCAACUGUUGUUCUAAGGAGAUAUCGUCUAAAGUAACUCCUUCAGAGCUCUUAAAGAGAUGUGUCAGAUCUGUAUGGAGAGUUCGUAGAUGGGCUCGAACAUUGUUAGAUAAGGGAAUCUAUAGCAGAAGUGUAAUCGAGCUGUUAGCAUGUGCAAGGCCAUUAGCAGAUAGUUGAUCUAAUAGCAGAGCCAAAAUUUGACAGAAGCACUCCUGAGCUUCCCAGACUAUAGCUGGAUUAAGCAUAGGAUCUAAUGAUGGUGAAGUAAUUGCUAAGGUGGAUAAGAACAAGAGAUCCUAUCUGGCCAGUGGACUCUUAAACUUAGAGAACUUUGACAACCUUGAAGGCAAUAGUUGUAAAGCUAGAAGGAUCCUUUUUGGGACUGUUGCCAGAUUCAUAAGUUGGUCUAUAGGAUCCUCAUCAAUAGAUAUAAAACCAAGCACCAAUUCUUCAACCUGAAGCAUAGCAUAAACUUCAUCAACAUAUUUCAUUAGGCUGUCAUCCUGGCUAGUGAGAGGUCGAAAGUCAGAAGAAGUAAGUGUAGCUAGUGGCUUCACAAUUGAGAUAUCUAAUGGAGCCUAAGGAGUCUGUUCUAGAAUAUCAUAGCCAAUAAUGUCAAUAGUCUCUGACAAGCUGACUCCACCUGGAGGUAGAUGCUCUAUAAUAUGGAAUGAUCACUAGAGAGGUGAGGUAACCUUGGUAGAACUCUAUGGCAUGUUGAUCUUAAUCAUGGAUGGAGUGGCAGUUGGCUCUGCUUUCUUUGGGGUUGGAGAGUUUAAUGCAUGACCUAAUUGGGGAAUGAGGAAAGUCUUUGCUCGAAUCUUCCACCAUUCAGAGAACUCAAGAAUGUCAUAAGCUAAAAGGGACUAAUGUUCUCUAGUCCUCACUGGUCGCAUGACUAAUGUCAUUUGCUAAAGUGUAUCUCAUCCUAUUAGCAAAGGCUAGCCCAUCAGACAGCAAAAAGGUAAGUGAUAACCUAAACAUAUCCUAGCUGACGUGCAAACAAGUAGUGAAGAUAUAGCUCAUAGCCAUAAAGAGAAGUACAAGGCCAACUGAAGGCCAGUAAGAGCUGCUACAACUCUCAAAGUGAUAGACAUGGGUCCCAAUACAAGUAACAGUUGCAAUGUCAGGACUAGAGUGGUAAUAGAGCAGUCAACAGUGGUUCAUCACAGACAACAUUAACCAAGCUCAAGUUUAUCAGCCUCAUCAAGUGCAUAUUUUUCCAUGUUUACUCAUUUUUGGGGCAAGGCAUUCAACUCAUUCUGUCUAGCUAUCAUGUAGUUGGGGCUAUGAUUUCAUGCAACCAAGGUCCCAUGAAGCAGAUUGUUUGCCCAGAAGAAUCUCAUAUGAGCUAGAUAAUGGAUAGGGCAGGACACAUUGAGCAGCUUCAUCAAAGGUAGCAACUGGGUAUAAAUAAGAAUAAAGAGGAUUAAAAGAAAUGAUAAUGGUGGCCCUAUUCAAGGAAGAAUAAGAGCAAGUUAUGGUGUGAACAUUGAAAGAUAGGUUGAUGGUGAUAAUAAUACACUUCCCCGGGGGUCAUUUGGAAUAACAGUAGCAGCCAGUGGUGGAUUGGCUUGAGGAUUGGAUAGGCCCAUGGAAGAAAGUUUAGCUACAGUGAUUUGUGAAAACGAAAUAGCUAGCUCAGAAAAAAAGCAUUUGAGAAGCAAGUCAUGUAACACCCCGAACCUCCAAGCUCUAAAUAGUAUCAUUUUUGGUCUGUAACUAGUACUAUUCAAAGACACUUUGAGGACAAAAAAAAAAGGGAAAUUAAUUGAGAUAGACACAAUAAAAAUUCAAGUGAACUAAAGACCUAAGGACUCAUCGGGUAUUAUGAAAAAGAAGGAUUAUGACUCGAUGAGGGGCAUUUUGGUCAAUUCACUUAAAGAGUUGAUUUUUACCAAAAUGUUAAUUAAAUUAAAUGAAAAUAAUAUAUUGAAUUAUGAAGAAAUUUUGAGGAAAAAUUAAGUAUAAAUGUAAAAAGAAAAGAAAUAAAAACUUAAGUUUAAUUACCUUUAUGACACAAUUAAAAUUUUGAUUUAAAUAAACUAAUUUUUAGGGAGAAAUAUAUAAGAGACAAGACAAUUAACUAAAAUUAAAAAAAAAAAAAGUCAUUUCCCUUCUUCUUUCCUUCAUGUGCCACCACCCUCUCCCACACUCUCUCUCUCUCUUUUCUUCAAUCCAACAUCAAUAAUCCCUCUCAACCCUUGAUUUCCCACCUUUCAUCUAUGGGUUUUCCACCUAAUUAGCAGAAAACAACAAAGUGCUCUUUGAUUGAAGGAUUUAAGCAAGAAGAACAAGAGAUUUGGAAGAGAAAUUGAAGAUUAGAAAACCUUAAUUAAAGGUAAGUCUCCCUUCCAACCUAAAUUAGCUUAAGCUCAUGGAAUUAAGGUUGAACUAGUGAAAAUAAUAUGAAAAAUGAAAGAAUUAUUGAUUGAAAUUUACACCAUGAAAUUUUGGUCCACUUUGGGAAAACUUGAGGUUUGAUGUGUUUUAGCUAAAUUGAUGAUAAAUUCAAGUUUAAUUAAAGUAGUAUACAUGUUUGGGGUAGUGAAAUUUUAUGGGAAUUUCAUAAAUUAGAAAAUGGAAUAUUAGGGUUCAUGGGAAAUUAGGGCUUUUAUGUGGUGCUAUGCAAUUAAGGUUUAUAGGACCUAAUUAUGGUCAUUUGAGGUGCCUUGAGGGUGAAUUGACAUUUAUAGGAUGAAUGGAAGUAAUGAAAUGGUAUGGAUUAGGGAAAUUGCAAACUAGGGUUUUGGAAAAUUUAGGAGUUUUGGAAAAUAAAGUGCUAAGGAUGUAUUAAUGUUAAAUUAUGAUCAUUUGGGGUGAAUUAAAUGUGAAUUGAGGAUAUUUAGUGGAAGUAAUUAAGGGAAGUGACAAUUGAACCUUAAGGCAGAAUUUCUAGACACUGAGUCUAGUGUGCUUGGCAGCUCAUAAGUUGAGCUACAUAACUCCAAUUGGUGUAAAAUCAUUUGGAAAUGAAACUUAAGACAUAGGAUAGAACUUUCAUGAAGAUACCUUACCCAUAAAAUGACCUUAAGCUGCCCUAAAUGAGCCUUGAACCUAGAGGUGGAAUUCUGGACACUGACAGUGUGACCACGUAAAUAGUAAACUUUGCAUUAUCAUAACUCUCUCUAGAAAACUCCAAUUUAGGUGAUUCUUGAAUUGAUGGAAACCUGAAACAUAGUAGAAUAUUUCAUAUG
This 3737-nucleotide unclassified non-coding RNA is filed under the name Hevea brasiliensis (rubber tree). Lineage: Eukaryota; Viridiplantae; Streptophyta; Magnoliopsida; Malpighiales; Euphorbiaceae. The record is from RNAcentral.